RNAcentral lists this long non-coding RNA (1508 nucleotides) under Salmo salar (Atlantic salmon). RNAcentral's name for it is "lncRNA (ENSSSAG00000093845.1)". Lineage: Eukaryota; Metazoa; Chordata; Actinopteri; Salmoniformes; Salmonidae. The record is from RNAcentral.
GUCCUCCGAAACGCAACCCAACCAAGCCGCACUGCUUCUUGACACAAUGCCCGCUUAACCUGGAAGCCAGCUGCACCAAUGUGUCGGAGGAAACACUGUGCACCUGACGACCGUGUUAACGUGCACUGCGCCCUAACUUGCACUGCGAACAUCCCUGCUGGCCAAACCCUCCACUAACCCGGACGACGCUGAGCCAAUUGUAUGCCGUCCCAUGGGUCUCCCGGUCGCAGCAGGCUGCGACAGAAACUGGACUCGAACCCAGGAUCUCUAGUGGCACAGCUACAGUAGCACUGCGAUGAUAUGAAGACAGUGCAACAGUUGACUCCGACACUUGAACUUGAGAUGAACGUGGUAGCAUCGGGCAUUUGGAAAUUGCUCCCAAUGAUGAAACAAACUUGUGGAUGUCUACAAUUUUUUUUCUGAGGUCUUGGCUGAUUUCUUUUGAUUUUCCCAUGAUGUCAAGUAAAGAGGCACUGAGUUUGAAGGUGCCGAGGCGGUCACUAAAGCCAAGGAGCAUGCUGGGAGAUUACAGUGUAUGUAAUCCAGAGAAUGAGGGUGCAUUCAUGUAGCGAGUUGGCUUGGCACACUUGUCGAAGUGUGAACAGUCCUAGCCCUUUCCUGCAGUCAAAUGACCUAGAGGCCUCAUGGGUGGAAUGUUAUUUAUAUUUUUCAUAAUUUCAUAAUGAAUAAACAUUUAUUCUUUCCGCUGACAAUCUGGUGUUUCUAUGUCAAACAAUUUCAGUCUUCUGUGAUGUAUAUAAAGUGAAAUAUUGGCAUGCAAACUCAAAAUUGAAUACAUUUCAACUAUCUGACAUGGUACAGGUAUCUUAUUUUAAUUAAGCCUGUAACCAUGUGUGGAAGGUGUAUACUUUUGUUUCAAAGUAGAUCUAUUUAAGACUACCAAUAAACACUCUGUGUGACCCUGAUUUCGCCCACUAAGUUAAUAUCCUAGUUCUUUUCCAAGGCACAACCUCCUUAUGGUAAACAUAUUCAAUCAUAAAUAUUAAAAUAUGUAUUGCAUUCAUACUCAUUAAAUGACACAUUUUCAACAAAUUUAGUUGGAUUUAAUUUUGCUUACAUCAACAUCGUGUAAUUAUUCAUUUGAAAGAUUGGAAGGAAAAUAUUAUUUAUAACAUAGGGGCUGUCACGUCCUGACCAGUAUUAGGGAUUAUUUGUAAUUGUAGUUUGGUCAGGACGUGGCAGAGGGUAUUUUGUUUAUGUGUUUCGGGGUGGUGGUUUAUUUAGUAGGGUGUUUGGUUAGUUAGUUCCGGGUUAUGUUCUGUGUUUGUAUAUCUAUGUCUAGUUAAUUGGGGUUGGACUCUCAAUUGGAGGCAGGUGUUUUCUAGUUGCCUCUGAUUGACAGUCCUAUAUAUGGGUAUGUGUUUGGUUUUGUGUUUUUGGGAGAUUGUUUCUUGUUUUGCUGUGUGUGCCUGACAAGACUGUCUAGUUCGUCUGUGUUUUUGUAUACGUGUUUAUUUUGGUUUUUUCCUUCUUUGUCUGUAAUAAAG